GCCGUCCCCACCGCCGCCGCUGUCCCCGCCGCCACCGCCGUCGCCCCGGCCCCCGCGCCCGCUGUCCCCGCUGCGCCCGCCUGUCCCUGCCGCCGCUGCCGCUGGAGGCCCGGACGCGACGAGCUCAGGACGCCGCUGCCGCCAUGGCCGUCGUCGCGCCGCGAACUGCAUUGUGGGGGGGAGGGCCGGCGGAGGAGACAGCUGGUUAUUAAACAUUUACUAUAACAUCCUUGUAAGAGGUGGCAUUUGAUCUGGAUCUUGGAGAAUGGAUAGAACUUAGAUGGAUGAAGAAGAAUGGAAAAAGCAUUUAAGAUGCAGUUGAAGCUACCUACAAACUGGUUUCCUGAAGAAAUGCACAGGAAUAGAUUCUCCAUCAAGGACACCCCCCAAAAGAGAUUGGUCUUGAUGAAAACCUCCCAGAAUUUUGACUAACCACCUUCCUCAACAAAGAUUGAGAGAUAUGAACUAGGAGACCCACCAUCAUUAUCUACCAACCUUGUGAUCUUUAUGGGUAUCCGGGAGUAGCAAAGAAGUCCUGGGAGCCAGCAAUCCUGGCUUCUAGUCUUACUCUGCCAUUAAUUACUCCCUGUGUAAUGCUGGGUAAAUUACUUCUAGCCCAACUCCAUUUUCUCCAUCUGGGAAAUCUGAGGAUUGACCUGGUUGACCUGGAUGAUGGCUUCCAGAGCUAACAUUCAGUGAUAUCCCUGCAUCUUACCAUUCUUACUACUCAAAUGAGCUCAUCUAUGUUGCAUAUUUUGUAAACCUGAAAGCCCUAUGUGAAUGCUAGCUAUUAUCCUUCUCUUUAAGCUGCUUUCUACUUAUUAUGUAAUUAUAUAUAUACAUAUACAUUAUUAUAUAAUU
This 861-nucleotide long non-coding RNA is filed under the name Monodelphis domestica (gray short-tailed opossum). RNAcentral describes it as "lncRNA (ENSMODG00000049793.1)". The record is from RNAcentral. Lineage: Eukaryota; Metazoa; Chordata; Mammalia; Didelphimorphia; Didelphidae.